RNAcentral lists this ribosomal RNA (271 nucleotides) under uncultured bacterium. RNAcentral describes it as "partial 16S ribosomal RNA". It matches the Rfam family "Bacterial small subunit ribosomal RNA", at positions 524 to 794 of the family's 1533-position model. The record is from RNAcentral.
UACGUAGGUGGCAAGCGUUGUCCGGAAUUAUUGGGCGUAAAGGGCGCGUAGGCGGUACCUUAAGUCAGAUGUGAAAACCCGAGGCUUAACUUCGGAGGUGCAUUUGAAACUGGGGAACUAGAGUGCAGGAGAGGUAAGUGGAAUUCCUAGUGUAGCGGUGAAAUGCGUAGAUAUUAGGAGGAACACCAGUGGCGAAGGCGACUUACUGGACUGUAACUGACGCUGAGGCGCGAAAGCGUGGGGAGCAAACAGGAUUAGAUACCCUAGUAGU